AACGAACGCUGGCGGCAGGCCUAACACAUGCAAGUCGAACGCUCCGCAAGGGAGUGGCGCACGGGUGAGUAACACGUGGGAACCUACCUUCUGGUACGGAACAACCAAGGGAAACUUUGGCUAAAACCGUAAUACGACCUCCGGGUGAAAGAUUGAUCGCCGGAAGAGGGGCCCGCGUCCGAUUAGGUAGUUGGUGAGGUAACGGCUCACCAAGCCUACGAUCGGUAGCUGGUCUGAGAGGAUGACCAGCCACACUGGGACUGAGACACGGCCCAGACUCCUACGGGG
This 288-nucleotide ribosomal RNA is filed under the name uncultured bacterium. RNAcentral's name for it is "partial 16S ribosomal RNA". It matches the Rfam family "Bacterial small subunit ribosomal RNA", at positions 29 to 346 of the family's 1533-position model. The record is from RNAcentral.